ACAGAGGGUGCAAGCGUUAUCCGGAUUUAUUGGGCGUAAAGCGUUUCGUAGGUGUUUUGGUAAGUUAUCUUUCAAAGACCACGGCUCAACCGGGGGAAGGGAGGUAAUACUGCCAGAAUUGAUUUAUGGUGGGGCUUCUGGAACUGAUGGUGUAGUAGUGAAAUACGUUGAUAUCAUCAGGAACUCCAAGGGCGAAGGCAGGAAGCUAACCAUGUAAUGACACUGAGGAACGACAGCUAGGGGAGCGAAAGGGAUUAGAGACCCCUGUAGUCCUAGCCGUAAACUUUGCUUGCUAGGAGUGGGGCCGUAAGGUUUCGCUCCGUAAGCUAACGCGUUAAGCAAGCCGCCUGGGGAGUACGGCCGCAAGGCUA
This 371-nucleotide ribosomal RNA is filed under the name uncultured bacterium. RNAcentral describes it as "bacterial SSU rRNA". It matches the Rfam family "Bacterial small subunit ribosomal RNA", at positions 525 to 896 of the family's 1533-position model. The record is from RNAcentral.